GUUAGGAAUAUUGGACAAUGGGCGCAAGCCUGAUCCAGCCAUGCCGCGUGAGUGUUGAAGGCCUUCGGGUUGUAAAGCUCUUUAGUCCACGAAUAUAAUGACUGUAGUGGAAGAAUAAGCCCCGGCUAACUUCGUGCCAGCAGCCGCGGUAAUACGAAGGGGGCGAGCGUUAUUCGGAAUCACUGGGCGUAAAGCGUGCGUAGGCUGUUUUGUAAGUCAGAAGUGAAAGCCCAGGGCUUAACCCUGGAAUUGCUUUUGAAACUACAAGACUCGAAUUCGGGAGAGGAUAGCGGAAUUGUCAGUGUAGCAGUGAAAUGCGUAGAUAUUGACAGGAACACCAGUGGCGCAAGCGGCUAUCUGGACCGAUAUUGACGCUGAGGCACGAAAGCGUGGGGAGCAAACAGGAUUAGAAACCCUAGUAGUCC
This 425-nucleotide ribosomal RNA is filed under the name uncultured bacterium. RNAcentral describes it as "partial 16S ribosomal RNA". It matches the Rfam family "Bacterial small subunit ribosomal RNA", at positions 354 to 796 of the family's 1533-position model. The record is from RNAcentral.